GAUGAACGCUGGCGGCGUGCUUAACACAUGCAAGUCGAACGGUGAAGCAGGAGCUUGCUCUUGUGGAUCAGUGGCGAACGGGUGAGUAACACGUGAGCAACCUGCCCCUGACUCUGGGAUAAGCGCUGGAAACGGCGUCUAAUACUGGAUAUGUGAUGUGACCGCAUGGUCUGCAUCUGGAAAGAAUUUCGGUUGGGGAUGGGCUCGCGGCCUAUCAGCUUGUUGGUGAGGUAAUGGCUCACCAAGGCGUCGACGGGUAGCCGGCCUGGGAGGGUGACCGGCAACACUGGGACUGAGACACGGCCCAGACUCCUACGGGAGGCAGCAGUGGGGAAUAUUGCACAAUGGGCGGAAGCCUGAUGCAGCAACGCCGCGUGAGGGAUGACGGCCUUCGGGUUGUAAACCUCUUUUAGCAGGGAAGAAGCGAAAGUGACGGUACCUGCAGAAAAAGCACCGGCUAACUACGUGCCAGCCGCCGCGGUAA
Molecule: ribosomal RNA, 484 nt
Filed under: uncultured bacterium
Lineage: Bacteria
Description: partial 16S ribosomal RNA
Rfam family: Bacterial small subunit ribosomal RNA
Source: RNAcentral